This 497-nucleotide ribosomal RNA is filed under the name uncultured bacterium. RNAcentral describes it as "partial 16S ribosomal RNA". It matches the Rfam family "Bacterial small subunit ribosomal RNA", at positions 28 to 507 of the family's 1533-position model. The record is from RNAcentral.
GAUGAACGCUGGCGGCGUGCCUAAUACAUGCAAGUCGAGCGAACGGACGAGAAGCUUGCUUCUCUGAUGUUAGCGGCGGACGGGUGAGUAACACGUGGAUAACCUACCUAUAAGACUGGGAUAACUUCGGGAAACCGUAGCUAAUACCGGAUAAUAUUUUGAACCGCAUGGUUCAAAAGUGAAAGACGGUCUUGCUGUCACUUAUAGAUGGAUCCGCGCUGCAUUAGCUAGUUGGUAAGGUAACGGCUUACCAAGGCAACGAUGCAUAGCCGACCUGAGAGGGUGAUCGGCCACACUGGAACUGAGACACGGUCCAGACUCCUACGGGAGGCAGCAGUAGGGAAUCCUCCGCAAUGGGCGAAAGCCUGACGGAGCAACGCCGCGUGAGUGAUGAAGGUCUUCGGAUCGUAAAACUCUGAUAUUAGGGAAGAACAUAUGUGUAAGUAACUGUGCACAUCUUGACGGUACCUAAUCAGAAAGCCACGGCUAACUACGUG